RNAcentral lists this ribosomal RNA (769 nucleotides) under uncultured bacterium. RNAcentral describes it as "bacterial SSU rRNA". It matches the Rfam family "Bacterial small subunit ribosomal RNA", at positions 725 to 1499 of the family's 1533-position model. The record is from RNAcentral.
CCUGCUGGGCGUUAACUGACGCUGAGUCACGAAAGCGUGGGUAGCAAACAGGGUUAGAUACCUGGUAGUCCAUGCUGUAAACGAUGAUUACUAGGUGUGGGUGGACUGACCCCAUCCGUGCCGGAGUUAACACAAUAAGUAAUCCACCUGGGAAGUACGACCGCAAGGUUGAAACUCAAAGGAAUUGACGGGGGCCCGCACAAGCAGUGGAGUAUGUGGUUUAAUUCGAAGCAACGCGAAGAACCUUACCAGGUCUUGACAUCCGCUUAAUUUGGCAGAAAAGCCGAAGUGCCCUUCGGGGAAAAGCGAGACAGGUGGUGCAUGGUUGUCGUCAGCUCGUGUCGUGAGAUGUUGGGUUAAGUCCCGCAACGAGCGCAACCCUUGUGAUUAGUUGCUACGAAAGAGCACUCUAAUCAGACCGCCGUUGACAAAACGGAGGAAGGUGGGGAUGACGUCAAAUCAUCAUGCCCCUUAUGACCUGGGCAACACACGUACUACAAUGGCCAUCAACAACAGGAAGCGAAGCCGCGAGGCGGAGCGAAACCCGAAAAAUGGUCUCAGUUCGGAUUGUAGGCUGCAACCCGCCUACAUGAAGCUGGAAUUGCUAGUAAUCGCGGAUCAGCAUGCCGCGGUGAAUACGUUCCCGGGCCUUGUACACACCGCCCGUCACACCAUGGGAGCCGGUAAUACCCGAAGUCGGUAGUCUAACAGCAAUGGAGACGCCGCCGAAGGUAGGAUUGGCGACUGGGGUGAAGUCGUAACAAGGUAA